Molecule: ribosomal RNA, 522 nt
Filed under: Triticum aestivum (bread wheat)
Lineage: Eukaryota; Viridiplantae; Streptophyta; Magnoliopsida; Poales; Poaceae
Description: partial small subunit ribosomal RNA
Source: RNAcentral
AUGCACAGCGCCGCCUUCAUCCUCCACCUCCUCCUAAAGCGCGCGCUCGCCUCGGGCGCUGGCGGUGGCGCGGCGGUGCUCGCCCUCGCGCACCCGUACUCGCACGACGACCGCGUCCUCCGCAAGAUGGUAAGCGCCCCGGCCGCUCACCCGCAUUUCCUCGGCAACAGGGCCAUCCUUGCGGACCACGCGGCGGCGGUGACGCUCUUCGGGCACCCUCGCGGCCGGCUGAGCCUGGCCAUCUAUGAGGACAUGCGGGCGCCACCGGCGUUCCUCAUCGAGCUGCCCAUGCUCGCGGCCGGGCUGCAUAGGGGGGAUGGCCACGGGACCUUGAAGCUGGUGCUGGAGAGCAACACCCGCAGCGCGCGGCGACCACUCCUGUCCAACGACGAGUGGCACGUGCUGCGGCUGCUGCGCGGCGUCUCCAUGAGCGCCGGGGUGCCGCCGCCGCCGCCUGCUGACGGCUCCAAUUUCCCCGACGGCGUCAUACUCCCGUGUCUGAUUAGGAUUGAAGAGUGCUGA